UCUCGAUUGGUCUAGUGGUAAGGAUACCUGCUUGUCACCCGGUGAUGGCAGCAUCUACACUUAUGGAUGCUGGUAUACAUGAAAAGGUCGCAGGUGGCCGGGGUUCGAUUCCCCGAUCGAGAG
Non-coding RNA from Xylaria palmicola, 123 nucleotides. The record is from the annotation of a GenBank genome assembly. Lineage: Eukaryota; Fungi; Ascomycota; Sordariomycetes; Xylariales; Xylariaceae.